GACGAACGCUGGCGGCGUGCUUAACACAUGCAAGUCGAACGGAAAGGCCCUGCUUGUGUGGGGUGCUCGAGUGGCGAACGGGUGAGUAACACGUGAGUAACCUGCCCUUGACUUUGGGAUAACUUCAGGAAAGUGGGGCUAAUACCGGAUAGGAGCUCCUGCUGCAUGGUGGGGGUUGGAAAGUUUCGGCGGUUUGGGAUGGACGCGCGGCUUAUCAGCUUGUUGGUGGGGUAGUGGCUGACCAAGGCUUUGACGGGUAGCCGGCCUGGGAGGGUGACCGGCCACAUUGGGACUGAGAUACGGCCCAGACUCCUACGGGAGGCAGCAGUGGGGAAUAUUGCACAAUGGGCGGAAGCCUGAUGCAGCAACGCCGCGUGCGGGAUGACGGCCUUCUGGUUGUAAACCGCUUUCGCCUGUGACGAAGCGUGAGUGACGGUAAUGGGUAAAGAAGCACCGGCUAACUACGUG
RNAcentral lists this ribosomal RNA (468 nucleotides) under uncultured bacterium. RNAcentral describes it as "partial 16S ribosomal RNA". It matches the Rfam family "Bacterial small subunit ribosomal RNA", at positions 28 to 507 of the family's 1533-position model. The record is from RNAcentral.